RNAcentral lists this transfer RNA (57 nucleotides) under Callosciurus erythraeus (Pallas's squirrel). RNAcentral's name for it is "tRNA-Ser". Lineage: Eukaryota; Metazoa; Chordata; Mammalia; Rodentia; Sciuridae. The record is from RNAcentral.
AGGAAGCAUGCAAGAACUGCUAACUCAUGCUCCCGUGCCUACACUCACGGCUUCCUC